This 468-nucleotide ribosomal RNA is filed under the name uncultured bacterium. RNAcentral's name for it is "partial 16S ribosomal RNA". It matches the Rfam family "Bacterial small subunit ribosomal RNA", at positions 28 to 507 of the family's 1533-position model. The record is from RNAcentral.
GACGAACGCUGGCGGCGUGCUUAACACAUGCAAGUCGAACGGAAAGGCCCUGCUUUUGUGGGGUGCUCGAGUGGCGAACGGGUGAGUAACACGUGAGUAACCUGCCCUUGACUUUGGGAUAACUUCAGGAAACUGGGGCUAAUACCGGAUAGGAGCUCCUGAUGCACGGUGGGGGUUGGAAAGUUUCGGCGGUUGGGGAUGGAAUCGCGGCUUAUCAGCUUGUUGGUGGGGUAGUGGCUUAACAAGGCUUUGACGGGUAGCCGGCCUGAGAGGGUGACCGGCCACAUUGGGACUGAGAUGCGGCCCAGACUCCUACGUGAGGCAGCAGUGGGGAUUAUUGCACAAUGGGCGGAAGCCUUAUGCAGCAACGCCGCGUGCUGGAUGACGGCCUUCGGGUUGGAACCCGCUUUCGCCUGUGACGAAGCGUGAGUGACGGUAAUGGGUAAAGAAGCACCGGCUAACUACGUG